Long non-coding RNA from Monodelphis domestica (gray short-tailed opossum), 1332 nucleotides. RefSeq lists it as uncharacterized. Lineage: Eukaryota; Metazoa; Chordata; Mammalia; Didelphimorphia; Didelphidae. The record is from RefSeq and is a predicted model, not a curated record.
GUGCAAAGAUCAAACACUUGGGCAAUUUGACAUUUCUAAGAUUGGACACAGUUUGAAUUUCCACAAUUUCUAUGGGAAUGCAAUUCACCCUCUCUCGCUUUAUUAAAAACCACCUUCUUGGCCCCAGCUUAUGUCUUUAUAAUAAGUGCUUCCAUUAUGUUUCAUAUCUCAUUUUAGGAAAUAGAAAUCUACCUCUUGUUCUAAAAGCCAUGGUACAGGGAAUCUGGAAGAUACCAUAGAGCUGAAGGACAGCUCAGAGUUACCAAGAUUGGAAACCAUGAUAUUCCCGCUGUUACAAGAAUGAGUACAUGGAAUAAUAAUUAGGAUAAUUCACAUUUAUAUAGCAUUUUAAAUCAUUUUCCUCAAAAUAAUCUGUGAGGUCUCUCCAGUCUGGCUUCUGAUUUCAUUAUUCAGCCAAAACAGAUAUCUCCAAAGUUAUUAAAGGACACCACUUUCUCCUGGUUCUCUUCCUACCCAUCUCACUACUCCUCAGUCCUCUUUGCUGGAUCUUCAUAUAGGUUCUAUCUUCUAAAGUUCUAAUGAUCACAUCAUGUUCUCUAAGGCAGUGUUUAACAUCAGAUGUAGAGAUCAUCAAGAGAGAGGCUAAUCCAUCUGGGAAAUCAAUCAAGCAUAAAGUCAGAGGUUUUUGAGUUUGACCUCAAUGAAGAAGCAUUUCUAUGAAUGACAAAAUGAUAAAUCUAAAAGAAAGCCUCCAAAUCCCAACUCACACACUGUUGCCUACAUGUCACAUUGAAAGAAAAUAACAAAAACAAAAAUAGAGUCAAGAGAUGGAACAUCUUAUCCAAAGAACAGCAAGGAAGCCAAUAUCACUGGAUCACAGAAUACAUGAGGUUGUGUCUGAAGAACAACAAAGUAAGGAUGAAAAAAUUGUUUCAUUUUAUGCUAACCCUUCAAAUGCUUCAAAAUAGUGUGAUGACUGAUGGGAUUCCAUUCUAUUCCAUUUGGUUCUAUUCAAGUUUGCCAGUAGGACAUGCUGACAUAUCAACUGUCCGUUUCGUGUGUGAGGCCAGACGAAUCCCAGUGGCUGUCUGGACAGGGGAAUGAAUUAGAAGAAAUGUGUUCUUAUCCAGCUGCCUCUUCUCAUUCCACUGGUCCAUAGAGAGGUUUACAGAUGAGCUUUAAUGAUCUUCGAUGAGUAGAGAAAUUUGUGAUACCCUGAAAUCACUCCUGCUCCCAUCCCUUCCCACUGCUGAUCCUUCCUCAUCACAAUAUGUGAUCACCCCUGGGCUUUCGGAGGCUGGGAUUUCACUGGUGCAUCUGCAUUCUUUUGGUAUAUGGCUCCACAGUGAAAUAAAAAUCAUUCUGCCAUGU